This 101-nucleotide microRNA precursor is filed under the name Marmota monax (woodchuck). Lineage: Eukaryota; Metazoa; Chordata; Mammalia; Rodentia; Sciuridae. The record is from RNAcentral.
AGCACAAUUGCUGGGUUGUAUAAUAAGUGUGUUUAACUUUUUAAGAAACUGCCAACCUGAUUUUCAGAGUGGCUAUAUUAAUUUAUUUUCUUUCUAUCAGU